CAGGAACGUGGUUGGGAACCACUGCUCUACAUGACUUGAAAGAGAGACGGCUCUUCAAUGGAGUCAUGAGCAGAUAUGCUUCAUGUGUUUUGUGUUUUUAAGUGAACUGCAGAAGGAUCUUGACGAAUGUGAAGAAAUAUUGAACACUCACAGCAUCAGGGCAGUUAAACAGUCUCACUGUCCUUCUGAUAAACCAGAUGCAAUGUUCGCUCUUCCACACAGGUUGAAGUGUCUCUAAAGCUGCUGCUGAAUCGAGCUCCGUUGAGCCUCUACAUGGUGCACAUGCUGGACUGGUUUGAGGAGGAAGAUCACUUCAUCCUCGUCCUGGAGUAUUCACAGCCUCUAAACACUUUCGAAAAAGAGCACGUCAGACAUUAUCCAAAGCACAGCUGGAUUUCAUGAAGCCUGACUGAUCAGAAUUUAUAACUUUGGGAAGAAUCAUUAUUAAUGUGUUAAAUAGAGAAAUUUGCAGGCAAAAACACUUAAAAAAGCAGUAACUUUUCAGCAGAAACACACGUCUGGCUGUAAAAUGUUGUUGUGGAGGAAACAGAGCGGCUCCUCUACAGCUGAUGUCCGACAUUGAUUCAGUCGAUCCCUAGUCGACCCGUCCGGCCUCAAGUUAGUUAUGAAAACAAUAACGUCUGGAAGAAGAAAGCGACUCCUCAGUCGACCCUGUGCUCUACGUUUGAUCAGCUUUAACUACAGCUCUGUUUUCUUCUUCUUCUUCUUAUGGAGACUCACAUUUGAGUUUAUUAUUGAACCCAAGGUUUGGAUGUCGUCUCUAGUGACUAAGCUGUUAUUGUGGUCUCUCAGUUGAGUCAGGACUAGUUUAUGUCUAUUAUGCUCGGUGACUUGAUUAGGGGCCGUUUUAUUCAGUCAUUUGGGGACAGAAUAGGGGUGGGCAAACACUGUAAUGUUUACGAUGUUUCAUGUGUUUGUUUUAUUAGCUCAACUCUAUGCUGUCUUAUUUUCAAAACAAUCCUUUCAUUUUCUUUUCUUUCCCCCUGUUUUAUUCUUAUCAUUUGUGUUUAGUGGUGUUUCUCAUGGUUGGUUCACUUCACUCUUUCACUGCUGAGUGUAAAAUAUUCUCUCUGACCCACAAUGAGUUAUUGUUAGGCGACCGUUAUUUUAGAACGUUCCCUUUGUUGUUUCCAUGGCGACGCGUCAUGAUUGUCACGUGACACACCGCAGCCACUACAGCGCUGUAUGACAGACGUAUCGCUUUCAUUUAGUUUUUCCUUUUUUAAUUCAAAAUAUUCACACACUUGUUUACCAUGUCUUCAACUAUCUGAUAUUCUGAUUUAUGAAUACGUGUAAGUGAGUGUAUUUUGCCGUUUUAAAACCUUUAUAAAUGAUCUGGAUGGUGAUCUAUAAUGUGAGAUGGCGCCGCCAUGUUUGUUCUCGCUGUCGUUCAGAGAGUCCUGUCACCCGGAUGUACAGCACAUAAAUUCACCAGUUUCUCCUGAAAUACAUGAAAGUAAGUGUCUGGUGAACUGGGAAAGGAAUGGAGUGAAUUAUAUCGUUACUUACACUAUGU
Labeo rohita (rohu) is the source of this 1537-nucleotide long non-coding RNA. RefSeq lists it as uncharacterized. NCBI's taxonomy places the organism in Eukaryota, Metazoa, Chordata, Actinopteri, Cypriniformes, Cyprinidae. The transcript has 3 exons. The record is from RefSeq and is a predicted model, not a curated record.